Molecule: long non-coding RNA, 328 nt
Filed under: Pan troglodytes (chimpanzee)
Lineage: Eukaryota; Metazoa; Chordata; Mammalia; Primates; Hominidae
Description: lincRNA
Source: RNAcentral
ACAGCAAAACUCUAAGACCACUGCCCUUCAAAAACUUCAACAGCCCUGAGUGAAAAGUCCAAACACAUUCAUCUACCAUUCAAAGACCCUUUAUUGUCUGUCCUCUGCACAUCUCAGUAGUCUCUUUUUACCACACUGUCUAUAUACUGCAUGAGCCAUUUAUAUGAAAACUAUCUGACACUCCAAGGCAUCUUAUACUAUAUAUUCAAUCAUGUAUCCCUAGUAAUUAUCACAGUCCUGGCAUAUAGUUUGCUACUAAACGUUUGCAGAAUGAAGGAAUUAUCUUGUAUCCAGGUUCCAAGUUUUAAGGUGAUUCUUCACUAAAAAA